UGCGCAGGCGGUUAUAUAAGACAGAUGUGAAAUCCCCGGGCUCAACCUGGGAACUGCAUUUGUGACUGUAUAGCUAGAGUACGGCAGAGGGGGAUGGAAUUCCGCGUGUAGCAGUGAAAUGCGUAGAUAUGCGGAGGAACACCGAUGGCGAAGGCAAUCCCCUGGGCCUGUACUGACGCUCAUGCACGAAAGCGUGGGAGCAAACA
Molecule: ribosomal RNA, 206 nt
Filed under: uncultured bacterium
Lineage: Bacteria
Description: partial 16S ribosomal RNA
Rfam family: Bacterial small subunit ribosomal RNA
Source: RNAcentral